RNAcentral lists this ribosomal RNA (253 nucleotides) under uncultured bacterium. RNAcentral describes it as "partial 16S ribosomal RNA". It matches the Rfam family "Bacterial small subunit ribosomal RNA", at positions 524 to 776 of the family's 1533-position model. The record is from RNAcentral.
UACGUAGGGUGCGAGCGUUGUCCGGAAUUAUUGGGCGUAAAGGGCUCGUAGGCGGUCUGUCGCGUCGGGAGUGAAAACUCGGGGCUUAACCCCGAGCCUGCAGUGGAUACGGGCAGACUAGAGGUAGGUAGGGGAGAAUGGAAUUCCCGGUGUAGCGGUGAAAUGCGCAGAUAUCGGGAGGAACACCGGUGGCGAAGGCGGUUCUCUGGGCCUUACCUGACGCUGAGGAGCGAAAGCGUGGGGAGCGAACAGG